AAGGAGCACAUAGCCGGUUGCGAGCGAAUGUCUCGCACGGUUGCUCAUGGGUGGAACGUUGACUAUUCGGCACACUGGGUGAUGGUUCGUGAGUACUGCUUCGGCGUGGAAAGCGUUCUUGAGUCUGGUGUGUCGGGCACGUUGUUGGGUCCUGAGGGAAUGGCCGUCAUGGUCUGAACCUCGAGGAUGCCGGUCCCACGGACAGUGCUCGUUUUCGGGUGGUGUAGGUGGGUGUCUGGUCGUUGUUUGAGAACUGCACAGUGGACGCGAGCAUCUGU
Molecule: unclassified non-coding RNA, 278 nt
Filed under: Kitasatospora azatica
Lineage: Bacteria; Bacillati; Actinomycetota; Actinomycetes; Kitasatosporales; Streptomycetaceae
Description: partial miscellaneous RNA
Source: RNAcentral